Long non-coding RNA from Medicago truncatula (barrel medic), 715 nucleotides. RefSeq lists it as uncharacterized. NCBI's taxonomy places the organism in Eukaryota, Viridiplantae, Streptophyta, Magnoliopsida, Fabales, Fabaceae. The record is from RefSeq and is a predicted model, not a curated record. The transcript is spliced from 2 exons.
AUAAAUUCUUGCAUAUAACAAUGAACUAAUGCAACACUAAGCUAAGUUCAUAACAAAUAAUUUUAGCUUAUUCUUUCUUUUGAUCAAACAAUGACUUAUGUUAAGCUUGCUAAUUUGGCUGUCUUCAUGCUCACCACAUUCUUAAUCAUCCAGACAGACGAAGAACGUUGAAGCAAGGCAUUGUGCAAGAUAUGGUAUGCCUUGUGCAGUAUUUGAGUCGAAUCCAUGCGGCAAUUCCAUAACGUGUCAGUGUGUCAGUUUGUACAUAUUUGGAAUGUCCUGCAUUGACUAUACGGGUGAUGGCCUCUAACUCUAAUGAAAAAAACUACUUGAAGAUGGCUUUGGAAAUUGCCACUUAAGAAUCAUGCAACUAUAAUAUGUCUGAAAAUAUUUUCGGACACUAUUGAAAAAGACUACUUGAAGACAGCUUUGGAAAUUUCUACUUAAGAAUGAUAUGUCUCAAAAACUAAAAAUCAACCAUGCAUGUUAUCCUCCUUAAAAAAAAAAUAAACCAUGCAUGUUAUCAUGCAUCUACUACUUUAAAUAAAACAACCUUUAUUUCCUAUUCAUCAAUUGUAUUUCUUUGAUAUCCGUCUGGAUUUUAAUAAACUAGUAUAUAGUGACCCGUGCCAGCACGGGGAAAUAAUAACCUUUUUGGAUCAAAUGUAUAGAUUUUAAAUUCGAUAUGAAAAAAAUAUCAUCUUAAUUUUGUAUA